Molecule: non-coding RNA, 134 nt
Organism: Triticum aestivum (bread wheat)
Lineage: Eukaryota; Viridiplantae; Streptophyta; Magnoliopsida; Poales; Poaceae
Source: Rfam
GUAGUAUUCCCACCAUCCCAAAAUUCUUGUCUUACAUUUGUUUAGAUACGGUGUAUCUAACACUAAAAUGUAACUAGAUACAUCCGUAUUUAGACAAAUUUAAGACAAGAAUUUUGGGACAGAGGGAGUACAAA